UUAGGUGCUAGUCUCUCUCUUUUGGAUAACCAGUUACAUGAGCUUCUUAUCUUAGUUCGGGUAGCAAGUAGGUUUACUUGGAGUAUGUUGGUGGGACAUGUAAUAUGAAAUUGGUAAUUAGCAAGUGACUAUUGUAUAUAAUUAGCAAGUGACAUGUAUAUAAGACCCUGGCAGAUCACCUUUGCCUCUUGUUGCUGCAGAUUGAUACUCAUCAUGUUUUGACUAGUUCCAUAUUAAGUGACAUUACAUAUAUACAAGAAUCAAUGUAUGGAUAAUUUGAUCACUUUUGAAUGUCAUCACUUUUGUGUAUGUGAAUCAAUGUAUGGCUAAUGUUUGAUCAUCGGCUAUACGUUUAGAGCAGCUUUUAUUUUUUUACCUAUUUAAUUGAGCUCGAUGGACUGUCCGUUGCUAAAAGUUCUAAUUGCUAUGGAUUGUCCAUUGCUAAAAGCUCUAAUAGGCUGUCUUUUGCUAAAGGUUGGACUGUCGAACUGUUCAUCGCUAAAUAUGAUGUCCGUCGCUAUAUACAUACAACGACGGCUUCAAUAGCAACGACAGCGGUCCGUCGCUAUAGCCUUUAGCAACGGACUGUCCAUUGGUGUACACCCCUUUUAGCAACGGACUGUCCAUCGCUGUUUAAAGGUUGUGGUGUAGUGAAUGAAAAAGCAAUAUUCAUUUGAAAUAAUAUGUAUACAUAUUAAAUUACUUCAAAACUUUCUUCUAACGUUCCUUGAUGCGAAGUCAUCGAUGAUGGUGUCAAUAUUGAUCUCAUCCAAUAAUCACUUCUCAAUGCAUAAUAUUGUCAAUCCAUUUAACCUCUCUUGUGACAUUAUAAAUCUCAAAUAGUUCUUCAUCAAUUUAAACUUAGAGAAACAAUUAGUAGCUAUAAUUUCAUAAAGUAAGGAUGACAUGAGAAACAAUUACUAACUAAAUUUCAGAUUACCUCGAUGGUUGCUGUGGCCUGGCGCCUGCCUUGGUGCCUCCUCUGCUGGAACUGUCCAUUGCCGAACAGUAAUUAGAGACGAUGGAUCAAGUGUGAGUUAAGGUCUUGUUUAGUUUACCCUAACAUCUAAAAACUUUUUAAAUUUCCAUCAGAUCGAAUCUUUCGGCACAUGUAUAAAAUAUUAAAUAUAGAUAAAAAUAACUAAAAAUAUGAUUUUUCUGUAAUUAACAAGAUGAAUUAUUUAUACCUAGUUAGUCCAUUGAACAAUAAUUACUAAAUACAAACAAAAGUAUUAUAAUAUUAAAAUUUAAAAUUUUUUUGGAUCUAAACCAGGGUAAGAUUAGGGCCGUGUGAUAAGUGUGAAUUGUCGGCUGCUCUGCUGCUGGAAAGUCAAAAGUGGAACUCCGACGCCACCAGGCCCCAGCUGCUGUCCGCCCAAGCUGCACACGCAGCCGUGCAGGAAGGCCCGAAGGCGGAAGGUGACGUCUCGCAUGACGGCUGGCUCACAUCGCACAUGCCAUGCUCACAUGGAGUAGGAGAGUCAAUCUGGCAUGUGUGUAUACGUAUUACGUACUGGUGUAUACAUUGGGUAAGAAAGCUGCUUGGCUUGGGCUGGACUUAGACGAUACUUUGGCAUUUCACUAAUCAUGAAAAACUGGUUUCGCAAUUUUAUUAUCCCACAAAGUGGUUUUGUUCUUUUACCAUUAUGAACCAAGUGUACCCCGCUGGAUUGCCAUUUGGGGUGUUCGAAUUGGUGAGAAAAAAAGAAGGCCAAUCCUUCCACUUCUACCCCUGCCUAUUCUCCCGUUCAUCGUCAAAACAGAUCACUGAUCAGUUGAAUGCCCCGCCGUUGUAAGCCCUAGUUUAGUUUUAGAUAAUUGAUGAAACCCUAAUACUAACAUUUAUACUAAGUGUGUGUAGACUUAAUGAGGUUGGUACAUAACAAGUGAUGGAGCAACCGAUGAUCAUGAUGAUGAAGGUGAUGAACACAAGAUGAUCAAGUGCUCAACUUGGAAAAGAAGAAACAGAAAAACAAAGCUCUAUGGAGAUCAAGGCAAAGUAUUGCUUAGGGUUUUAGUUUUGGUGAUCAAGACACCAUAGAAGGUGUGAUCACAUUUAGGAUAGAUAGUCGUACUAUAAAGAGGGAAAUUCUUUGGCUAAGCGGUUAUCGAGUGCCACUAGGUGUCAUUGUUCAUGUGUAUGCAUUUAGAACAUAGUGAGCUAACUUAACUCCUUCGAAGAAAAUGAUUGUGAAAAUGCUAACACACUUGCACAUGUUGGUACACACAUGGUAGUCUUGGCACACUUUGAGAAGGAGGUAGAGUUUGAAGGGUAGAGAGGGGUUUGAGAUUCGGUGUUUUUGAGAAAAUGAAAUGCAUAUUUUCUAUUACACUGGUGGAAAGUUUGGAGAAGUCAUGAGAGUGUUUUUCACGGACGCUGGCCUCAGAGGCACCGGACGCUGCCUCUAAGUGUUCGGUGCACUCUCGUUUCUGGUAGAGGUGAAGGGAGCACCGGGCGCCCAGCACCGGACUCGGGCUAGACCCUGUUCAUGCGUCCGGUGUGGCUUGACAUCAACAGUAAGAGUAUGAGGGUUUCUGACUGAGAGCACCGGAUGCUCAGGAAGCUUCCGGUGGUGUGAGUCUGGUGAUCCCGUGUCUUUGCAACCCUCUCUACGUACGUGUCCGGUGUGUCCCGGACACGUCCCGUGCUCACUUGACUCCAUCCGGUGGUUUGAAUAUGACCGUUAGAGAUUGACACGCGAGAUUCAAGUUGUGGACACAUGGCUGUGUUCUGAGCACCAGACGUAGGGGUUGAGCGUCCCGUGACCCCAUGUUCAGCCCAGUGAAAGAGCCAACGGCUCUAUUUGUUUGAGGGGCUUAUAAAUAUUUGUUGGCCGGCUUGGGGCUCACUUUCUUGACAUUCUUGACUACUAGACAUCCUUGUGAGCCUAAGCAAACACCUCCCACUCAUCUCCUUCAUAGAUUAAACAUCUUUGUUAGAUUGAGAGUGAUUCCAAGUGUAUUUGCCUGAGUCAUUGCAUCUAGUGGCACUUGGGGAUCGAUUUGGCUAUGGUUUUCUUGUUACUCUUGGUGGUUGCCGCCACCUAGAUGGCAUGGAGCAGCGGAGGAGCAUUGGCCUGAGUUGGUGAUUGUUCGUGGCCAUCUCCCAGUGAUUGUGAGGGAACUAUGCCUACCUUGGCGGAGAGCCAAAGGUAACUUUAGUAGAUUGCGCGUGUCAUCGAGCUACCUCACUUGUGGGUAGGUUCUUGCGGUGUCCUAGUGAGGACAAGGUUCGUGCUACACCUCUUAGCCGCCGAUCCGCCAAGUGUUGAUCGACACAACGGGGAUGUAGCGUGCCAGGAAGCACAUGAACCUCGAGAGAAAAAUUGGUGUCUCAAUUGUGUUUGAUUGGCAUUCUCCUAGUGCUUGAUUAUUCAUAUAUUGGUGAUUGAUUCAUCCCCUACACGACAGUAUAAAUAUCUCAUCCUCUUCAUCUACUCACCGCAAAGUAGUGUAAUUAGUUUAGUUGCUUACUUUCUCUUGAGUAUCAUAGUUCACUAGUGUAGCUUGUAGUGACAUAGUUCUUGUGUGCCUAGUGAUCAUAUCAACUAGAAUUGUUGGAUAGGUGGCUUGCAAACACCACUUUUAGAGCUUGAGCAAAAAGCUUCGCUUUGUUAUUUAAUAACCACUUUCUCUAGUGAGUUUGUAGAAAUUUUAAAUAGGUUAUUCACCCCCUCUAGCCAUAUUUGGGCCUAUCAAGUGGUAUCAGAGCCGUGGUCACCAUUUUGUGAAGGCUUAACAACCUCGGUGCUCAAAUUAUUGCUCAAAGAGUGUUCAACCAUGUUGGGGCAAACCACAGUUCUUUGAUGGGACAAGUUCCUUUGACUAUUGGAAGAGAAAAAUGAAAAUGUACCAUGGAUCAAUCAAUGAUAAAGUGUGGGAAGUCACGGAGAAUGAUUUUGUGAUCCUUGAUCCCGCCAACCCCACCAACGAUGAGAGAGCAAACAAGCAAUGCAAUACAAUGGCUCUGAAUACAAUCUACAAUGGCAUUGAUUCAAAGGUGUUUGAACAAGUCAAAGAUCUUAAGAAGGCAAGUGAAGUGUGGACAAGGCUGGAAGAGACCUCUGAGGGCACUACAACGGUAAAAAGUGCCAAAUUAUACAUGCUCAAGGACAAGUUAUCCAACUUCAAGAUGAAGGAUUAUGAGUCCAUAAUGAAGAUGUCCUAUAGGCUCCAAGUCAUCAACAAUGAUCUCAAAGGCCUUGGUGAGAAAGUAAAGGAUGGAGACUUCAUUCACAAGUUCUUGAUGUGCUUACCCAAGAGGUUCAAGACAAUGAAAACAAUCAUCUUUAGAGAGGAUUGAAGGGUGUUUCUCCCAAUGAGGUACUUUGAGAUGUCAUGACCAGAGAUCAAUACAAUGACAAUGAUGAUGAUGAGUUCAUGAAGAAGGAUGAUGAUGAUAAAAAGAAGAGUGUAGCAUCCAAAGCUAGAUCUUCAUCCAAGACCAAGAACAAGGGCAAGGCCAAGAAGGAAGAAUCAAGUGAUGAGGAGUGCUCUAAUGAUGAUAGUGAUGAUGAAGCACUAGCAAUCUUUGUCCGCAAAUUUGGCAAGAUGAUGAAGAACAAGGGCUACCAUACAAGAAAGAGAAGGGACAACUCCAAGAACAAGGAGUAUGUGAGGCUAUGCUACAAGUGCAAGGGUUCCGAUCAUAUUGUGGCGGAUUGUCCUUACAAUAGUGACAAUGAUGAGCAUGAGAAGAAGAACAAGAAAGAGAAGAAAGAAAACAAAGAGAAGAAGAUGGUCUUCAAGAAGAAGAGGAAGGGUGGAUCCUAUGUUGUGACAUGGGAUAGUUAUACUUCUUCUGAUGAUGAUUCAAGUGAUGAUGACAAGGCAUCCAAAAAGAAGGUGGUUGCUAGUAUUGCUAUCAACAACAAGCCAUCACUCUUCGACACUCCUUCAUUCUUUAUGGCUAAGGGCCACAAGGUACAAUAUGAUGAGAGGGAAAGUGAAAGUGAACAUGAAGAUGAACAUGAUAGUGAUAGUGAUGAUGAAAAUUAAUUCACUAAAGAACAACUCAUGGACAUGUUAGAGCAAACUGAUUCACUUAUUCAUUGUAAAAACAAGAAGUGCAAUGAAUUAUCCAAGAAGUUAGAAGCUCUUGAGCAAUCCUUUGAUGAGCUCGAUGCUACUCAUGAGAGGCUAGUGGAUGCCCAUGAGAAUAUUGGCAAGGCUCACACCAAGCUUGAAAAAGCUCACUCCUUGUUGUUAGAAGAGAACAAGGAAAAGGUUGUUGUAUCAUGUGAUGUGGGCACAACAUGUAACUUAAUUAAAGAAUCACCCAACUCAUCUAUUGUUGUUGCCACUAACUCUUCUUGUAGGUCUUCAUCCACCACCACUAAAUCUACCUCUACUUCUAGUGUUGGUGUCAUGUGUGAUGCUUCACUAAAGGUUGAGAAUGAGACUCUCAAGAUAGAGGUGGAUGAGCUCACUCACACGCUAGGCAAAGCCUAUGGUGGUGAGGCCCGCUUGCUAAAGUGCUUGGGUAGCCAAAGGUUUUCUCUCAACAAAGAGGGAUUAGGCUACACCCCCAAGAAAGGCAAGAUGACCUUCAACUCACAAGCCUAGCUUUGUGAAGAGCAAUGGUCAUUAUUGCAAUAGAUGCAAGCAAGUUGGGCACCUAGAGCUUAAUUGCAACAAAAUGAACAAGAACAAGAAAAUUGCUAAUGUAUCUUACAUUGCUUUUGAUUCUUGUUAUGUGCUCACCAAGGGUGAGAAGGGUGUGCAUGCUAAGUUUGUUGGUACACCAAUUGUAGGACACACUUCAAUAUUCCAGUGGUUGAUGGGCCAUCGUUUGAUCCUAUUAAGGUCUAGGGUUCAAACCAAUUGAAAGGCGGUUCAGUUAUGCCAACCGUCUGUAGAAAAUAUGAAAUCGGUUUUUAAAAAUAGGAAAAAAAAA
This 5896-nucleotide long non-coding RNA is filed under the name Sorghum bicolor (sorghum). Its description in RNAcentral is "long non-coding RNA (SBIC_LNC003027)". The record is from RNAcentral. Lineage: Eukaryota; Viridiplantae; Streptophyta; Magnoliopsida; Poales; Poaceae.